GACGGGCCGUGUCGCCGGCACGGCGGCCCCUCGGCCGCGCCGCACACGGUGACGGGCCGCCGGUUCCUCCCGGCGGCCCGUCAC
Molecule: transfer RNA, 84 nt
Filed under: Streptomyces thermoviolaceus subsp. apingens
Lineage: Bacteria; Bacillati; Actinomycetota; Actinomycetes; Kitasatosporales; Streptomycetaceae
Also listed under: 1 other name
Description: tRNA-Pro
Source: RNAcentral